This 238-nucleotide unclassified non-coding RNA is filed under the name fungal sp. RNAcentral's name for it is "partial internal transcribed spacer region". The stretch from base 1 to 46 matches the Rfam family "Eukaryotic small subunit ribosomal RNA", at positions 1786 to 1831 of the family's 1831-position model. Lineage: Eukaryota; Fungi. The record is from RNAcentral.
AAGUCGUAACAAGGUCUCCGUUGGUGAACCAGCGGAGGGAUCAUUACCGAGUUUACAACUCCCAAACCCCUGUGCACUAUAUUGUAGGCAUGAAGAAAGAGAAAUACGUAGUAAUAUGUGUAUCUCAAGUAUUUGUGUCUACGAUUUUUUAUACACUCGUAACUUAUAAAGAAUGUUCAAGUAGACUUAUAAAGUCGAAAUUAUAAAACAACUUUCAACAACGGAUCUCUUGGUUCUC